This 207-nucleotide ribosomal RNA is filed under the name uncultured bacterium. RNAcentral's name for it is "partial 16S ribosomal RNA". It matches the Rfam family "Bacterial small subunit ribosomal RNA", at positions 568 to 774 of the family's 1533-position model. The record is from RNAcentral.
AGCGUAGACGGUAAAGCAAGUCUGAAGUGAGAGCCCGGGGCUCAACCCCGGGACUGCUUUGGAAACUGUUUAACUAGAGUGCUGGAGAGGUAAGCGGAAUUCCUGGUGUAGCGGUGAAAUGCGUAGAUAUUAGGAGGAACACCAGUGGCGAAGGCGGCUUACUGGACAGUAACUGACGUUGAGGCUCGAAAGCGUGGGGAGCAAACA